This 711-nucleotide ribosomal RNA is filed under the name uncultured marine archaeon. RNAcentral's name for it is "bacterial SSU rRNA". It matches the Rfam family "Archaeal small subunit ribosomal RNA", at positions 23 to 738 of the family's 1478-position model. The record is from RNAcentral.
CUGACUGCUAUCGGAUUGAUACUAAGCCAUGCGAGUCUUUGUAGUAAUACAAGGCAGACGGCUCAGUAACACGUAGUCAAUCUAACCUAUGGACGGGGAUAACCUCGGGAAACUGAGAAUAAUGCCCGAUAGAUCAUUAUGCCUGGAAUGGUUUAUGGUCCAAAUGAUUUAUCGCCGUAGGGUGGGACUGCGUUCUAUCAGCUUGUUGGUGAGGUAAUGGCCCACCAAGGCUAUUACAGAUACGGGCUCUGAGAGGAGAAGCCCGGAGAUGGGUACUGAGACACGGACCCAGGCCCUAUGGGGCGCAGCAGGCGAGAAAACUUUGCAAUGUGCGAAAGCACGACAAGGUUAAUCCGAGUGUUUUCUGCUAAAGGAAUCUUUUGUCAGUCCUAAAAACACUGAUGAAUAAGGGGUGGGCAAGUUCUGGUGUCAGCCGCCGCGGUAAAACCAGCACCUCAAGUGGUCAGGAUGAUUAUUGGGCCUAAAGCAUCCGUAGCCGGCUCUGUUAGUUUUCGGUUAAAUCUGUAUGCUCAACGUAUAGGCUGCCGGGAAUACUGCACAGCUAGGGAGUGGGAGAGGUAGACGGUACUCGGUAGGAAAGGGGUAAAAUCCUUUGAUCUAUUGAUGACCACCUGUGGCGAAGGCGGGUCUACUAGAACACGUCCGACGGUGAGGGAUGAAAGCUGGGGGAGCAAACCGGAUUAGAUACCC